This is a non-coding RNA of Pelobates cultripes (western spadefoot toad), 438 nucleotides long. The record is from the annotation of a GenBank genome assembly. Lineage: Eukaryota; Metazoa; Chordata; Amphibia; Anura; Pelobatidae.
GUCAGUUAGCACGUCUGUAGAAAGCAUGUGUGUGUGUCAGUGAGCGCAUCUGUAGUGAGCAUGUAUGUGUGUCAGUGAGCAUGUCUGUAUUAAGCAUGUAAGUGUGUCAGUAAACAUGUAUGUAGUGAGCAUGUAUGUGUCAGUGAGCAUGUCUGUAGUGAGCAUGUAUGGGUCAGUGAGCACGUCUGUUGUGAGCAUGUCUGUGUCAGUGAGCAUGUCUGUAGUAAGCAUGUAUGUGUGUGUCAGUGAGCAUGUCUGUAGUAAGCAUGUAUGUGUGUGUCAGUGAGCAUGUCUGUAGUAAGCAUGUGUCAGUGAGCAGGUUUAUGUCAGUGGGCUUGUAAUGAGCAUGUGUGUGUCAGUGAGCAUGUGUGUGUCAUUGAGCUUCUCUGUAGUGAGCAUGUGUGUCAGUGAGCUUCUCUGUAGUGAGCAUGUGUGUCA